CUUUUCGUUCGUCCUUCCUUUCCUGUUCGCCUGUUCGUUUGUGCGUAUGUGUGUGCGCUCAUUCUUUCAGUGUGUGUACCAGUUGCAGUGGCGGUUCCAGGCCCUCGAGAUACCUCGUCAUUUUAGUGUCACCACAGGACGGCCACAUUCUGGUGGCCUGUACGAAGAAUUUUUCAGCCUGUGCUGGCAUAAGAAAAGCGGCAGAGGGGGAAUUUCCUGGCCUGCGCUGGCGCCCUCGAGAUACCUCGUCAUUUUAGUGUUGCCACAGGACGCUGACAUCUAAUGGCUGAAAUCUUCAACCUGCAUGCUACAGGAUCACAUACAGUACCUGGAAACAUCAAGGGAAACAGCUGCUGCCUGAAUACUCAACUGUACAAAUACUGAAUUCAAACAAAAGUUUGCACACUGCAGGAGACCGGAGGUAUUGGCUCAGAUACUUGGGUCACUGCCACCCACAUGAAAACCUGAACUGAGUUUCAAUCCUGGCAUUGGUGUGGUUCAGGUUCAGCUCAUGUAAACAUUUGGGGAAU
Molecule: long non-coding RNA, 530 nt
Organism: Ochotona curzoniae (black-lipped pika)
Lineage: Eukaryota; Metazoa; Chordata; Mammalia; Lagomorpha; Ochotonidae
Exons: 4
Source: RefSeq, a predicted model, not a curated record